AGUGAACGCUGGCGGCAGGCCUAAUACAUGCAAGUCGAACGGCAGCACGGCAGAGCUUGCUCUGUGGGUGGCGAGUGGCGGACGGGUGAGGAAUACAUGGGAAUCUGCCCAGUCGUGGGGGAUAACGUAGGGAAACUUACGCUAAUACCGCAUGCGCCCUUCGGGGGAAAGCCGGGGACCUUCGGGCCUGGCGCGAUUGGAUGAGCCCAUGUCGGAUUAGCUAGUUGGCGGGGUAAAGGCCCACCAAGGCGACGAUCCGUAGCUGGUCUGAGAGGAUGAUCAGCCACACUGGAACUGAGACACGGUCCAGACUCCUACGGGAGGCAGCAGUAGGGAAUAUUGGACAAUGGGCGCAAGCCUGAUCCAGCCAUGCCGCGUGAGUGAAGAAGGCCCUCGGGUUGUAAAGCUCUUUUGUCCGGAAAGAAAAGCGCCGGGUUAAUACCCUGGUGUCCUGACGGUACCGGAAGAAUAAGCACCGGCUAACUUCGUGCCAGCAGCCGCGGUAAAC
RNAcentral lists this ribosomal RNA (508 nucleotides) under uncultured bacterium. Its description in RNAcentral is "bacterial SSU rRNA". It matches the Rfam family "Bacterial small subunit ribosomal RNA", at positions 29 to 525 of the family's 1533-position model. The record is from RNAcentral.